AUGUCUCUUACCACAGCUUCCUUCGCCGCGCCCGCUUGCUCCUCAUCCUCCUCCUGGCCGCCGCUACCCAGGUGGCCGUGCCGGCUACCCAGACCGGCGAGGGGCUGCCGCCGCCUGGCGGUGCGGGCGGACGUCAAGGUGAUAUCCUCCGGCGACGCUUGCCGCCGCGGGCUCGCCGCCGGCAUCCACAAGCUCGCCGAUGCCGUCUCCGUCACUCUCGGUCCCAAAGGGAGGAAUGUUGUUAUUGAUCAAGAUGAUGUUCCUAAAGUAAUUAAUGAUGGUGUCACAAUCGCCAAGGCUAUAGAACUUCCAAAUUCACUUGAGCAUGCAGGGGCCAUGCUACUUCAAGAGAUAGCAACCAAGACAAACAGUACUGUUGGGGAUGGAACCACGACAGCGAUUAUUUUGGCCCGAGAAAUCAUCAGCCUUGGCUUAUUGGCCGUUGCCAACGGUGCUAACCCAGUUGCUUUAAGAAAGGGCAUUGACAAAGCUGUUCAUGAACUGCUUGGGAUCUUGAAGACAAAAUCUAUCCCUGUGAGUACAAAGGAGGACAUAAAAGCUGUAGCAUCAAUAUCAGCUGGCAAUGAUGAAUAUGUUGGCAAUCUCAUUGCCGACGCAUUGGAGAAGAUAGGUCCUGAUGGAAUAAUCAAAAUCGAGUCAUCAUCUUCCAUAUAUACUUCAGUUGAGNNNNNNNNNNNNNNNNNNAUAGACAAGGGUUACACCUCACCUCAUUUCAUCACAAAUCCAGACAAAGCAAUUGUUGAAUUUGAAAAUGCUAGAGUGCUUUUAACUGAUCAACGGGUGAAUGAAAUCCAAGAGAUACUUCCUUUGCUGGAGAAGACCACACAGUUGAGUGUCCCUUUGUUGAUUAUUGCCGAGGAUAUUUCACAUUCGGUGUACUCGACUCUGGUUCUUAACAAACUGAAUGGUUUGCUAAAUGUUGCGGUUGUCAAAUGUCCUGGUUUGGGAGAUGAAAAGAAGGCUAUUCUGCAAGAUAUUGCCAUUAUGACAGGUGCAGAUUUCUUUGUUAGUGACCUUGGUUGGGGUCUUCAAGCAAUUACAUCUGACCAGCUGGGUAUGGCUCAAAAGAUCACUAUCACGAGUGAAUCUACAACUAUAAUUGCACAUCCCUCUAUGAGACCAGAGAUUGAGGCUAGGAUUAUGCAACUAAAGAAAGAUCUAGAGGAGACAACAAGUACCUAUCUAAAAGAAAGGUUUUCUGCAAGAAUUGCUAAACUCUCAAGAGGUGUAGCAGUUAUCAAGGUAGGGGCAGCCACUGAAGCUGAACUUGAGGACAGAAAGCUGAGAGUGGAGGAUGCGAAGAAUGCAACUUUUGCAGCCAUCAGCGAAGGCAUCACACCUGGUGGUGGUGUAACAUAUGUUGAACUGUCUAAGCAUAUUCCCAGUAUCAUGGAUCUCGUGGAUGACCCGGAAGAGAAGAUUGGUGUAAAUAUUGUGGGGAAGGCACUCCUUGUCCCUGCUAUGACGAUAGCUCGCAAUGCCGGCGCAGAUGGUUCAGCUGUCGUAGAGAAGAUUCUUGAAAGCGAGUGGCGAGUUGGGUACAAUGCGAUGACAGAUAAGUUCGAAGACCUUGUUGAUGCCGGGGUGGUUGAUCCGUGCCGGGUUGCAAGAUGCGUGCUCCAGAACUCUGCUUCUAUUGCAGGGCUAAUUCUAAUGACCCAAGCAAUGAUGUUUGAUAAGAUAAAGAAGAAAAAGUCGCCCAUUCCUGAAAUUCCAGGCCUCCCGCCGUUGCAGAUAAAUCAAAAUUCUUAG
This 1773-nucleotide ribosomal RNA is filed under the name Triticum aestivum (bread wheat). Its description in RNAcentral is "partial small subunit ribosomal RNA". Lineage: Eukaryota; Viridiplantae; Streptophyta; Magnoliopsida; Poales; Poaceae. The record is from RNAcentral.